CAUCGUCAGCUUAUUCAGUAUUAAUGCAGGCCCAUAUGUGAUAAUAGAAUCCUUGUGAUUACUANAUUAUACUUGCUUGUAUUAUUUUURCUGGGUAGGUCGGCGUGCACUUCUCCUCUAGUAGAACGUCGCAACCCGUUGGAUGUUUAUCUAUGGCUUGAAUGGUAGCCUUUGAUAUUUUUUAUAUUAAAGACCUUCGAUGUCCUGAUAAACUGUUUGACGGUAUACAUAUGGUAUUGAGCCGCAAUUAUUUGCGUUAGACUUAUCGCAAGUAUGGCUUUAUUCUAGUAGUGCGGAUCUAAUGCCGUCGCUGGACAAAGCUUGCUGUUAGCUGAUAAUGUCUUUAACUGGCUUAUUUACCGGUUAGCGAUGCUACUGCUUUGGGUACUUACAGGACCCGUCUUGAAACACGGACCAAGGAGUCUAACAUGUGCGCGAGUCAUUGGGAUAUAUUUAUAUAAUUCAAACCUAAAGGCGUAAUGAAAGUAUAGAUUGUUUUAAGACAAUUAAGGGAAGAUGGGUUACGUUACGAUGUAAUCCCGCAUUCCCAGGACGUUCUAUUCUCAUUG
Molecule: ribosomal RNA, 569 nt
Filed under: Cotesia ruficrus
Lineage: Eukaryota; Metazoa; Arthropoda; Insecta; Hymenoptera; Braconidae
Description: eukaryotic LSU rRNA
Rfam family: Eukaryotic large subunit ribosomal RNA
Source: RNAcentral